Molecule: ribosomal RNA, 796 nt
Filed under: uncultured bacterium
Lineage: Bacteria
Description: bacterial SSU rRNA
Rfam family: Bacterial small subunit ribosomal RNA
Source: RNAcentral
AGAGUUUGAUCAUGGCUCAGAUUGAACGCUGGCGGCGUGCCUAACACAUGCAAGUCGAGCGGUAACAGGUGUAGCAAUACAUGCUGACGAGCGGCGAACGGGUGAGUAAUGCUUUGGAAUCUUCCCAGUAGUGGGGAAUAACCAGUCGAAAGAUUGGCUAAUACCGCAUACGUCUGUAAAGGGAAAGCGGGGGCUCGUAAGACCUCGCGCUAUUGGAUGAGCCAAAGUCGGAUUAGCUAGUUGGUGGGGUAAUGGCCUACCAAGGCGACAAUCCGUAGCUGGUCUGAGAGGACGACCAGCCACACCGGAACUGAGACACGGUCCGGACUCCUACGGGAGGCAGCAGUGGGGAAUAUUGGACAAUGGGGGAAACCCUGAUCCGCGACGCCCGCGUGUGUGAAGAAGGCCUGCGGGGUUGUAAAGCACUUUUAGUGGGGACAAAAAGCUACGGAUUAAUACUCUGUGGUCUUGAUUUUAACCCAAAGAAAAAGCCCGGCUAACUCUGUGCCAGCAGCCGCGGUAAUACAGAGGGUGCGAGCGUUAAUCGGAAUUACUGGGCGUAAAGCGCGCGUAGACGGUUUUGUAAGUCAGAUGUGAAAUCCCUGGGCUCAACCUGGGAACUGCAUUUGAAACUGCAUGGCUAGAGUAUCGAAGAGGGAAGUGGAAUUUCCGGUGUAGCGGUGAAAUGCGUAGAUAUCGGAAGGAACACCAGUGGCGAAAGCGACUUCCUGGUCGAAUACUGACGUUCAUGUGCGAAAGCGUGGGGAGCAAACAGGAUUAGAUACCCUAGUAGUCC